AGGAGGAACAACCGCAGUGGCGGCGGCCAGCUUGGAGCCCUAGAGUCAGCUCCCGCAGUAACUCCAGAGCUCUCCGUCUGCAGGGCCUGGAGGCUCCGGGGCGGG
RNAcentral lists this microRNA precursor (105 nucleotides) under Canis lupus dingo (dingo). Its description in RNAcentral is "mir-8834 microRNA precursor family". It matches the Rfam family "mir-8834 microRNA precursor family". Lineage: Eukaryota; Metazoa; Chordata; Mammalia; Carnivora; Canidae. The record is from Rfam by way of RNAcentral.